RNAcentral lists this ribosomal RNA (888 nucleotides) under uncultured bacterium. RNAcentral describes it as "bacterial SSU rRNA". It matches the Rfam family "Bacterial small subunit ribosomal RNA", at positions 66 to 984 of the family's 1533-position model. The record is from RNAcentral.
ACGAUGAAUCUUCUAGCUUGCUAGAAGUGGAUUAGUGGCGCACGCGUGAGUAAUGCAUAGGUUAUGUGCCCUUUAGUCUGGGAUAGCCACUGGAAACGGUGAUUAAUACUGGAUACUCCCUACGGGGGAAAGUUUUUCGCUAAAGGAUCAGCCUAUGUCCUAUCAGCUUGUUGGUGAGGUAAUGGCUCACCAAGGCUAUGACGGGUAUCCGGCCUGAGAGGGUGAUCGGACACACUGGAACUGAGACACGGUCCAGACUCCUACGGGAGGCAGCAGUAGGGAAUAUUGCUCAAUGGGGGAAACCCUGAAGCAGCAACGCCGCGUGGAGGAUGAAGGUUUUAGGAUUGUAAACUCCUUUUGUUAGAGAAGAUUAUGACGGUAUCUAACGAAUAAGCACCGGCUAACUCCGUGCCAGCAGCCGCGGUAAUACGGAGGGUGCAAGCGUUACUCGGAAUCACUGGGCGUAAAGAGUGCGUAGGCGGGGUAAUAAGUCAGAUGUGAAAUCCUGUAGCUUAACUACAGAACUGCAUUUGAAACUGUUACUCUGGAGUGUGGGAGAGGUAGGUGGAAUUCUUGGUGUAGGGGUAAAAUCCGUAGAGAUCAAGAGGAAUACUCAUUGCGAAGGCGACCUGCUGGAACAUUACUGACGCUGAUGCACGAAAGCGUGGGGAGCAAACAGGAUUAGAUACCCUGGUAGUCCACGCCCUAAACGAUGGAUGCUAGUUGUUGCCUUGCUUGUCAGGGCAGUAAUGCAGCUAACGCAUUAAGCAUCCCGCCUGGGGAGUACGGUCGCAAGAUUAAAACUCAAAGGAAUAGACGGGGACCCGCACAAGCGGUGGAGCAUGUGGUUUAAUUCGAAGAUACGCGAAGAAACUUACCUAGGCUUGA